Molecule: small nucleolar RNA, 67 nt
Filed under: Gorilla gorilla gorilla (western lowland gorilla)
Lineage: Eukaryota; Metazoa; Chordata; Mammalia; Primates; Hominidae
Description: Small nucleolar RNA SNORD75 (ENSGGOG00000039308.1)
Source: RNAcentral
AUCCCAAAAUAGAAGUAAACAGUUUUUGGACAGAAGAGAUUUCUGAAAAAUUUGUGUCCCAAUGGUU